UCUGCCACAUUUUCAUGAGAGAGGAGAAAAAUAAACAAAAUGACAGGGAGGUGAUAAAAAAAGAAUCACUUAACUCUAAAAUCCUAUAGGAGACUGCAAUUUUAUUGAGGUGAAAAGGGUAAAAUGGUAUAAAAUCAGCUAUAAACAAAUAUUCACAUAAACCUUAUAACAAGGGACAUGGGAUCUUUCUCUACUCAUUAUCUGGCAUCAUUUCAGAGUAAACAUUCCUGUGUUAGGGCUGGUAGGAUUAGCAAAAUUCUUUCUAUUUGCUAAGUGCCUGGAAUAAAGGGAGAUGUAUUUUCACAUUUUAUAUUAUUUUUUAAACUUUUGUCAGAUUUAGAAGUUAAAAUAUAUAUUUACAGUUUAUGAAAAUGUGAGUUUUCAGACUUUUAAUGCACAAAAAUAAAAAGGAAGUGAAUUCAAAAUCAACACACACACCGUCAAACAAAUGUACAAAAAAUCCAGCCCAU
This is a long non-coding RNA of Xiphophorus hellerii (green swordtail), 470 nucleotides long. RefSeq lists it as uncharacterized. The record is from RefSeq and is a predicted model, not a curated record. Lineage: Eukaryota; Metazoa; Chordata; Actinopteri; Cyprinodontiformes; Poeciliidae. The transcript is spliced from 3 exons.